RNAcentral lists this signal recognition particle RNA (117 nucleotides) under Cercocebus atys (sooty mangabey). RNAcentral describes it as "Metazoan signal recognition particle RNA". It matches the Rfam family "Metazoan signal recognition particle RNA". From Rfam's summary of the family: The signal recognition particle (SRP) is a universally conserved ribonucleoprotein. Lineage: Eukaryota; Metazoa; Chordata; Mammalia; Primates; Cercopithecidae. The record is from Rfam by way of RNAcentral.
GCCGGGCAUGGUGGCUCAUGCCUGUAAUCCCAGUACUUUGGGAGGCUGAGGCAGGUGGAUCACCUGAGGUCAGGAGUUCAAGACCAGCCUGGCCAACAUGGUGAAACCCCGUCUCUA